AGGUAAGCUACUAAGAGCGAAUGGUGGAUGCCUUGACUGGUAAAGGCGAUGAAGGACGUACUAGACUGCGAUAAGCUACGGGGAGCUGUCAAGAAGCUUUGAUCCGUAGAUUUCCGAAUGGGGCAACCCAAUGUAUAGAGAUAUACAUUACCUAUAUAGGAGCGAACGAGGGGAAUUGAAACAUCUUAGUACCCUCAGGAAAAGAAAUCAAUAGAGAUUGCGUCAGUAGCGGCGAGCGAAAGCGCAAGAGGGCAAACCCAGUGCUUGCACUGGGGGUUGUAGGACUGCAAUGUGCAAGAGGUAAGUUUAGCAGAACAUUCUGGAAAGUAUAACCAUAGAGGGUGAUAGUCCCGUAUGCGAAAAACAAACCUUAGCUAGCAGUAUCCUGAGUAGGGCGGGACACGAGGAAUCCUGUCUGAAUCCGGGUCGACCACGAUCCAACCCUAAAUACUAAUACCAGAUCGAUAGUGCACAAGUACCGUGAGGGAAAGGUGAAAAGAACUGAGGUGAUCAGAGUGAAAUAGAACCUGAAACCAUUUGCUUACAAUCAUUCAGAGCCCUAUGUAGCAAUACAGGGUGAUGGACUGCCUUUUGCAUAAUGAGCCUGCGAGUUGUGGUGUCUGGCAAGGUUAAGCAAACGCGAAGCCGUAGCGAAAGCGAGUCUGAAUAGGGCGCUUAGUCAGAUGCUGCAGACCCGAAACGAAGUGAUCUAUCCAUGAGCAAGUUGAAGCUAGUGUAAGAACUAGUGGAGGACUGAACCCAUAGGCGUUGAAAAGCCCCGGGAUGACUUGUGGAUAGGGGUGAAAGGCCAAUCAAACUUCGUGAUAGCUGGUUCUCUCCGAAAUAUAUUUAGGUAUAGCGUUGUGUCGUAAUAUAAGGGGGUAGAGCACUGAAUGGGCUAGGGCAUACACCAAUGUACCAAACCCUAUCAAACUCCGAAUACCUUAUAUGUAAUCACAGCAGUCAGGCGGCGAGUGAUAAAAUCCGUCGUCAAGAGGGAAACAACCCAGACUACCAGCUAAGGUCCCUAAAUCUUACUUAAGUGGAAAACGAUGUGAAGUUACUUAAACAACCAGGAGGUUGGCUUAGAAGCAGCCAUCCUUUAAAGAAAGCGUAAUAGCUCACUGGUCUAGUGAUUUUGCGCGGAAAAUAUAACGGGGCUAAAGUAAGUACCGAAGCUGUAGACUUGCACACAACUUAGAUUAUUUAAGUUUAGAAUAUGAGAAACUAAGUUAUAUGUUUAGUUAUAUUUUUACUGAUUUUUAUAGAGUAAAGAUAGAAAUAAAACUUAGUAAAAUCAGUAAAAAUAUUCUUAGACUAAAGUUAAGUAGUUUAAGUUGUGUGCAAGUGGUAGGAGAGCGUUCUAUUUGCGUCGAAGGUAUACCGGUAAGGAGUGCUGGAGCGAAUAGAAGUGAGCAUGCAGGCAUGAGUAGCGAUAAUUAAUGUGAGAAUCAUUAACGCCGUAAAUCCAAGGUUUCCUACGCGAUGCUCGUCAUCGUAGGGUUAGUCGGGUCCUAAGUCGAGUCCGAAAGGGGUAGACGAUGGCAAAUUGGUUAAUAUUCCAAUACCAACAUUAGUGUGCGAUGGAAGGACGCUUAGGGCUAAGGGGGCUAGCGGAUGGAAGUGCUAGUCUAAGGUCGUAGGAGGUUAUACAGGCAAAUCCGUAUAACAAUACUCCGAGAACUGAAAGGCUUUUUGAAGUCUUCGGAUGGAUAGAAGAACCCCUGAUGCCGUCGAGCCAAGAAAAGUUUCUAAGUUUAGCUAAUGUUGCCCGUACCGUAAACCGACACAGGUGGGUGGGAUGAGUAUUCUAAGGCGCGUGGAAGAACUCUCUUUAAGGAACUCUGCAAAAUAGCACCGUAUCUUCGGUAUAAGGUGUGGUUAGCUUUGUAUUAGGAUUUACUCCGAAAGCAAGGAAACUUACAACAAAGAGUCCCUCCCGACUGUUUACCAAAAACACAGCACUCUGCUAACUCGUAAGAGGAUGUAUAGGGUGUGACGCCUGCCCGGUGCUCGAAGGUUAAUUGAUGGGGUUAGCAUUAGCGAAGCUCUUGAUCGAAGCCCGAGUAAACGGCGGCCGUAACUAUAACGGUCCUAAGGUAGCGAAAUUCCUUGUCGGUUAAAUACCGACCUGCAUGAAUGGCGUAACGAGAUGGGAGCUGUCUCAAAGAGGGAUCCAGUGAAAUUGUAGUGGAGGUGAAAAUUCCUCCUACCCGCGGCAAGACGGAAAGACCCCGUGGACCUUUACUACAGCUUGACACUGCUACUUGGAUAAGAAUGUGCAGGAUAGGUGGGAGGCUUUGAGUAUAUGACGCCAGUUGUAUAUGAGCCAUUGUUGAGAUACCACUCUUUCUUAUUUGGGUAGCUAACCAGCUUGAGUUAUCCUCAAGUGGGACAAUGUCUGGUGGGUAGUUUGACUGGGGCGGUCGCCUCCCAAAUAAUAACGGAGGCUUACAAAGGUUGGCUCAGAACGGUUGGAAAUCGUUCGUAGAGUAUAAAGGUAUAAGCCAGCUUAACUGCAAGACAUACAAGUCAAGCAGAGACGAAAGUCGGUCUUAGUGAUCCGGUGGUUCUGUGUGGAAGGGCCAUCGCUCAAAGGAUAAAAGGUACCCCGGGGAUAACAGGCUGAUCUCCCCCAAGAGCUCACAUCGACGGGGAGGUUUGGCACCUCGAUGUCGGCUCAUCGCAUCCUGGGGCUGGAGCAGGUCCCAAGGGUAUGGCUGUUCGCCAUUUAAAGCGGUACGCGAGCUGGGUUCAGAACGUCGUGAGACAGUUCGGUCCCUAUCUGCCGUGGGCGUAAGAAGAUUGAAGAGAUUUGACCCUAGUACGAGAGGACCGGGUUGAACAAACCACUGGUGUAGCUGUUGUUCUGCCAAGAGCAUCGCAGCGUAGCUAAGUUUGGAAAGGAUAAACGCUGAAAGCAUCUAAGCGUGAAGCCAACUCUAAGAUGAAUCUUCUCUAAGCUCUCUAGAAGACUACUAGUUUGAUAGGCUGGGUGUGUAAUGGAUGAAAGUCCUUUAGCUGACCAGUACUAAUAGAGCGUUUGGCUUAUCUUU
This 3056-nucleotide ribosomal RNA is filed under the name Campylobacter jejuni. RNAcentral describes it as "23S ribosomal RNA". It matches the Rfam family "Bacterial large subunit ribosomal RNA". The record is from RNAcentral. Lineage: Bacteria; Pseudomonadati; Campylobacterota; Epsilonproteobacteria; Campylobacterales; Campylobacteraceae.